RNAcentral lists this ribosomal RNA (578 nucleotides) under uncultured bacterium. Its description in RNAcentral is "bacterial SSU rRNA". It matches the Rfam family "Bacterial small subunit ribosomal RNA", at positions 95 to 649 of the family's 1533-position model. The record is from RNAcentral.
GUGGCGCACGGGUGAGUAACACGUGGGUAACCUACCCUUGAGUUGGGGAUAACUCCGCGAAAGCGGGGCUAAUACCGAAUAACAUGCCGGGGUCUUCGGACCUUGGCAUCAAAGGUGGCCUCUGCUUGUAUGCUACCGCUUAAGGAUGGGCCCGCGUACCAUUAGCUUGUUGGUAGGGUAAUGGCCUACCAAGGCAACGAUGGUUAGCUGGUCUGAGAGGAUGACCAGCCACACUGGAACUGAGACACGGUCCAGACUCCUACGGGAGGCAGCAGUGGGGAAUCUUGCGCAAUGGGGGAAACCCUGACGCAGCAACGCCGCGUGGGUGAUGAAGGCCUUCGGGUCGUAAAGCCCUGUCAGGUGGAAAGAAACAUGUUGGUGCUAAUACCACCAACACUUGACGGUACCACCGGAGGAAGCACCGGCUAACUCCGUGCCAGCAGCCGCGGUAAUACGGAGGGUGCAAGCGUUGUUCGGAAUUAUUGGGCGUAAAGCGCGUGUAGGCGGUUGUGCAAGUCCGAUGUGAAAUCCCUCGGCUUAACCGGGGAAGUGCAUUUGAAACUGCACGACUAGAGUAC